GAUGAAGAACGUAGCGAAAUGCGAUAAGUAAUGUGAAUUGCAGAUUUCAGUGAAUCAUCAAAUCUUUGAACGCACCUUGCGCUCCUUGGUAUUCCGAGGAGCAUGCCUGUUUGAGUGUCAUUAAAUUCUCAACUCUCCAACUGUUGUCAUGACUGGUGGUAGAGCUUGGACGUGAGGGUUCUGCCGGCUCCUUGUUGAGUCUGGCUCCCUUGAAAAUGAUUAGCGCAGCUUUGCACUGUCCGCUUCAGGUGUGAUAAUUUAUCUACGCCCGACUAGCGACGCGCAUGAAUGGCUUUGUGCUUCUAACCGUCUCGAAAGAGACAAUACCUUUUGAACUUGACCUCAAAUCAGGUAGGACUACCCGCUGAACUUAAGCAUAUCAAUAAGCGGAGGA
RNAcentral lists this unclassified non-coding RNA (394 nucleotides) under soil metagenome. Its description in RNAcentral is "partial contains 5.8S ribosomal RNA, internal transcribed spacer 2, and large subunit ribosomal RNA". The stretch from base 1 to 120 matches the Rfam family "5.8S ribosomal RNA", at positions 35 to 154 of the family's 154-position model. The record is from RNAcentral.